ACCUGGCUGGCUCAGUGGGAAGAGCAUGGGGCUCUUAAUCUUGGGGUUGUGAGUUUGAGCCCCAUGUUGGGUG
This is a non-coding RNA of Canis lupus familiaris (dog), 73 nucleotides long. The record is from Rfam. NCBI's taxonomy places the organism in Eukaryota, Metazoa, Chordata, Mammalia, Carnivora, Canidae.